AAUGUUCUAAAAUUAUAGCAAAAUCCUUCAAUUAAGCUAUAGGUGCCCUGCUGGUUAUGGAAUUUUGAGGUAUCUAAAUGGACGAUGGCAACCGUUUGGAAGAUAAUUUCACCAAAUCCAAAGUUACUUAUCUUCAACGACCAAAAUCCGAAGUUGCAUAGCAUCAAGGAUUCUCCUUUCUCCUUUGGUCUGCCUAGAUGGCCAUUUUUCUUUCUCCUUCAAGCGUACAAUCUGUCCCCACAUUUGUUUCUGAAGAUUGUUUCCACAUCAAGAUGGUCCUUUCUCCUUACCAAGCGUAGACGAUGAAUCCAACCCUCAUGGCCUGUCUUCAUUUUCGACGAAAGAGAAAAUAAUUAAACAAAAGAAAUGAUAUGUUCAACCAGAAAGGAAGAACCAGAAGAUGAAGAUUCUCAAACCACGAUUGAAUCAAGUGUAAA
Molecule: long non-coding RNA, 437 nt
Filed under: Jatropha curcas
Lineage: Eukaryota; Viridiplantae; Streptophyta; Magnoliopsida; Malpighiales; Euphorbiaceae
Description: long non-coding RNA (JCUR_LNC002705)
Source: RNAcentral